AAAAAAGCACCUGUUUCUCUACCACCAUUAUCUAUACCACCUGUUUCACUUCCACCAUUACCAUUACCACCAGCUUCUAAACCACCAAAGGUAUCCCCAGCACCUGCAAAGGUUCCAAAAGCACCAGCACCGGCCAAAGAAGCACCAGCACCAGCACCUACACACAAAAAGAAAGCACCAGCACCCGCACCAGACAAAGAAACACCGGCACCAGCACCUACACACAAAAAGAAGAAAGCACCAAAAUCAUCACCUGUUCCUUCCCCAGCAAUUCUCCCACCAUCACCUGCACCAACACCUGCAAUAGACACACCAUCAUCAGCACCAGCACCAUCGCCUGAAGAUGAUGCGCCAGAACCACCGCCACCCCACAAGCACAAGAGAAGAAAACACAAGCAUAGUAAGCAUAAGAAACAUCACGCACUAGCUCUAGCACCAGAGCCUACAAGUUCAAGUUCAACAAUCAUUAGGAGGAGUCCCCCAGCACCACUGGCUGAUGAUAAUACUACAAUGAGUUC
RNAcentral lists this long non-coding RNA (518 nucleotides) under Medicago truncatula (barrel medic). RNAcentral describes it as "long non-coding RNA (MTRU_LNC006403)". The record is from RNAcentral. Lineage: Eukaryota; Viridiplantae; Streptophyta; Magnoliopsida; Fabales; Fabaceae.